ACUCCUACGGGAGGCAGCAGUGGGAAUAUUGCACAAUGGGGGAAACCCUGAUGCAGCCAUGCCGCGUGUGUGAAGAAGGCCUUCGGGUUGUAAAGCACUUUCAGUAGGGAGGAAGGUAGUGUAGUUAACACCUGCAUUAUUUGACGUUACCUACAGAAGAAGCACCGGCUAACUCCGUGCCAGCAGCCGCGGUAAUACGGAGGAUCCAAGCGUUAUCCGGAAUCAUUGGGUUUAAAGGGUCCGUAGGUGGAUGAUUAAGUCAGAGGUGAAAUCCUGCAGCUCAACUGUAGAAUUGCCUUUGAUACUGGUUGUCUUGAAUUAUUGUGAAGUAGUUAGAAUAUGUGGUGUAGCGGUGAAAUGCAUAGAUAUCACAUAGAAUACCGAUUGCGAAGGCAGAUUACUAACAAUACAUUGACACUGAUGGACGAAAGCGUGGGGAGCGAACAGGAUUAGAUACCCUGGUAGGCUCUG
This 471-nucleotide ribosomal RNA is filed under the name uncultured bacterium. RNAcentral's name for it is "bacterial SSU rRNA". It matches the Rfam family "Bacterial small subunit ribosomal RNA", at positions 335 to 799 of the family's 1533-position model. The record is from RNAcentral.